RNAcentral lists this ribosomal RNA (459 nucleotides) under Streptococcus sanguinis. Its description in RNAcentral is "bacterial SSU rRNA". It matches the Rfam family "Bacterial small subunit ribosomal RNA", at positions 28 to 471 of the family's 1533-position model. The record is from RNAcentral. Lineage: Bacteria; Bacillati; Bacillota; Bacilli; Lactobacillales; Streptococcaceae.
GACGAACGCUGGCGGCGUGCCUAAUACAUGCAAGUAGAACGCUGAAGAGAGGAGCUUGCUCUUCUUGGAUGAGUUGCGAACGGGUGAGUAACGCGUAGGUAACCUGCCUGGUAGCGGGGGAUAACUAUUGGAAACGAUAGCUAAUACCGCAUAAAAUUGAUUAUUGCAUGAUAAUUAAUUGAAAGAUGCAACUGCAUCACUACCAGAUGGACCUGCGUUGUAUUAGCUAGUUGGUGAGGUAACGGCUCACCAAGGCGACGAUACAUAGCCGACCUGAGAGGGUGAUCGGCCACACUGGGACUGAGACACGGCCCAGACUCCUACGGGAGGCAGCAGUAGGGAAUCUUCGGCAAUGGGGGGAACCCUGACAGAGCAACGCCGCGUGAGUGAAGAAGGUUUUCGGAUCGUAAAGCUCUGUUGUAAGAGAAGAACGGGUGUGAGAGUGGAAAGUUCACACUG